Molecule: long non-coding RNA, 677 nt
Organism: Siniperca chuatsi (mandarin fish)
Lineage: Eukaryota; Metazoa; Chordata; Actinopteri; Centrarchiformes; Sinipercidae
Exons: 3
Source: RefSeq, a predicted model, not a curated record
GCAUGAGAGGGAGAGAGAGCGCUAGACAUGACAGACAACAGGUCUAGCUGCAAGUAGAGUGAAGGACACUUCUGUGCUAGUCUCACCAGAUCACACAGAGAGAGAGAGAGAGAGAGAGAGAGCGAGAGGAGGGGGGUGACGGGAGGAGGAAGACGCAGAGAUGAAGGAAGGCUCAUCUAUCUGUGUUGAGCACAUGUAUUGUAUGUAUACUUGUGUGUGUGGGUGUGUGAGUGUUAGAGCAUGGAGCAGCCCGAGGGAACAGAGCUGACUAAACUCCAUUUUCCAGCUGCCUGAACAAGCCAAUCAGCCACGAACCUCAGAGCCUCUGUUUCCGGAGGACGGGAGAGGACAAUCGCCACAGCGACAUUGCAUUGAGAUGACAUCACUGAUAGGGGGAAGAAAAUAUGCUUUUUAAAUGUGGGUUUAUUAGAUGUAUACAUAUAUUCUUGCACAGGGUGGAGACUGUGAGUGUGUGUAUGUGUGUAUUCACACAUAUCCAGUGUCUACAAAAAUGACCUCUGUGUUGAAUGUACAAUCACUAAAGCUCAAGUUACUACCAACCCUUCCUCUGUCGGUCUCUCUCUGUUGAGAUAUAAGGUUACCACUGGCUCCAGACAGUGAAGCUAAUACUCCUUCUCCUCCUUCACCUCCCUCUUACCUGACCGGAGGAAGGGAAG